AUUGAACGCUGGCGGCAGGCCUAACACAUGCAAGUCGAGCGGUAGCACAGAGAGCUUGCUCUCGGGUGACGAGCGGCGGACGGGUGAGUAAUGUCUGGGAAACUGCCUGAUGGAGGGGGAUAACUACUGGAAACGGUAGCUAAUACCGCAUAACGUCGCAAGACCAAAGUGGGGGACCUUCGGGCCUCAUGCCAUCAGAUGUGCCCAGAUGGGAUUAGCUAGUAGGUGGGGUAACGGCUCACCUAGGCGACGAUCCCUAGCUGGUCUGAGAGGAUGACCAGCCACACUGGAACUGAGACACGGUCCAGACUCCUACGGGAGGCAGCAGUGGGGAAUAUUGCACAAUGGGCGCAAGCCUGAUGCAGCCAUGCCGCGUGUGUGAAGAAGGCCUUCGGGUUGUAAAGCACUUUCAGCGGGGAGGAAGGCGAUAAGGUUAAUAACCUUGUCGAUUGACGUUACCCGCAGAAGAAGCACCGGCUAACUCCGUGCCAGCAGCCGCGGUAAUACGGAGGGUGCAAGCGUUAAUCGGAAUUACUGGGCGUAAAGCGCACGCAGGCGGUCUGUCAAGUCGGAUGUGAAAUCCCCGGGCUCAACCUGGGAACUGCAUUCGAAACUGGCAGGCUAGAGUCUUGUAGAGGGGGGUAGAAUUCCAGGUGUAGCGGUGAAAUGCGUAGAGAUCUGGAGGAAUACCGGUGGCGAAGGCGGCCCCCUGGACAAAGACUGACGCUCAGGUGCGAAAGCGUGGGGAGCAAACAGGAUUAGAUACCCUGGUAGUCCACGCCGUAAACGAUGUCGAUUUGGAGGUUGUGCCCUUGAGGCGUGGCUUCCGGAGCUAACGCGUUAAAUCGACCGCCUGGGGAGUACGGCCGCAAGGUUAAAACUCAAAUGAAUUGACGGGGGCCCGCACAAGCGGUGGAGCAUGUGGUUUAAUUCGAUGCAACGCGAAGAACCUUACCUGGUCUUGACAUCCACAGAACUUUCCAGAGAUGGAUUGGUGCCUUCGGGAACUGUGAGACAGGUGCUGCAUGGCUGUCGUCAGCUCGUGUUGUGAAAUGUUGGGUUAAGUCCCGCAACGAGCGCAACCCUUAUCCUUUGUUGCCAGCGGUUCGGCCGGGAACUCAAAGGAGACUGCCAGUGAUAAACUGGAGGAAGGUGGGGAUGACGUCAAGUCAUCAUGGCCCUUACGACCAGGGCUACACACGUGCUACAAUGGCAUAUACAAAGAGAAGCGACCUCGCGAGAGCAAGCGGACCUCAUAAAGUAUGUCGUAGUCCGGAUUGGAGUCUGCAACUCGACUCCAUGAAGUCGGAAUCGCUAGUAAUCGUAGAUCAGAAUGCUACGGUGAAUACGUUCCCGGGCCUUGUACACACCGCCCGUCACACCAUGGGAGUGGGUUGCAAAAGAAGUAGGUAGCUUAACCUUCGGGAGGGCGCUUACCACUUUGUGAUUCAUGACUGGGGUGA
This 1463-nucleotide ribosomal RNA is filed under the name uncultured Klebsiella sp. RNAcentral describes it as "bacterial SSU rRNA". It matches the Rfam family "Bacterial small subunit ribosomal RNA". Lineage: Bacteria; Pseudomonadati; Pseudomonadota; Gammaproteobacteria; Enterobacterales; Enterobacteriaceae. The record is from RNAcentral.